UUGAAGAGUUUGAUCAUGGCUCAGAUUGAACGCUGGCGGCAGGCCUAACACAUGCAAGUCGAGCGGUAGCACAGAGAGCUUGCUCUCGGGUGACGAGCGGCGGACGGGUGAGUAAUGUCUGGGAAACUGCCUGAUGGAGGGGGAUAACUACUGGAAACGGUAGCUAAUACCGCAUAACGUCGCAAGACCAAAGUGGGGGACCUUCGGGCCUCAUGCCAUCAGAUGUGCCCAGAUGGGAUUAGCUAGUAGGUGGGGUAACGGCUCACCUAGGCGACGAUCCCUAGCUGGUCUGAGAGGAUGACCAGCCACACUGGAACUGAGACACGGUCCAGACUCCUACGGGAGGCAGCAGUGGGGAAUAUUGCACAAUGGGCGCAAGCCUGAUGCAGCCAUGCCGCGUGUGUGAAGAAGGCCUUCGGGUUGUAAAGCACUUUCAGCGGGGAGGAAGGCGAUAAGGUUAAUAACCUUGUCGAUUGACGUUACCCGCAGAAGAAGCACCGGCUAACUCCGUGCCAGCAGCCGCGGUAAUACGGAGGGUGCAAGCGUUAAUCGGAAUUACUGGGCGUAAAGCGCACGCAGGCGGUCUGUCAAGUCGGAUGUGAAAUCCCCGGGCUUAACCUGGGAACUGCAUUCGAAACUGGCAGGCUAGAGUCUUGUAGAGGGGGGUAGAAUUCCAGGUGUAGCGGUGAAAUGCGUAGAGAUCUGGAGGAAUACCGGUGGCGAAGGCGGCCCCCUGGACAAAGACUGACGCUCAGGUGCGAAAGCGUGGGGAGCAAACAGGAUUAGAUACCCUGGUAGUCCACGCCGUAAACGAUGUCGAUUUGGAGGUUGUGCCCUUGAGGCGUGGCUUCCGGAGCUAACGCGUUAAAUCGACCGCCUGGGGAGUACGGCCGCAAGGUUAAAACUCAAAUGAAUUGACGGGGGCCCGCACAAGCGGUGGAGCAUGUGGUUUAAUUCGAUGCAACGCGAAGAACCUUACCUGGUCUUGACAUCCACAGAACUUUCCAGAGAUGGAUUGGUGCCUUCGGGAACUGUGAGACAGGUGCUGCAUGGCUGUCGUCAGCUCGUGUUGUGAAAUGUUGGGUUAAGUCCCGCAACGAGCGCAACCCUUAUCCUUUGUUGCCAGCGGUCCGGCCGGGAACUCAAAGGAGACUGCCAGUGAUAAACUGGAGGAAGGUGGGGAUGACGUCAAGUCAUCAUGGCCCUUACGACCAGGGCUACACACGUGCUACAAUGGCAUAUACAAAGAGAAGCGACCUCGCGAGAGCAAGCGGACCUCAUAAAGUAUGUCGUAGUCCGGAUUGGAGUCUGCAACUCGACUCCAUGAAGUCGGAAUCGCUAGUAAUCGUAGAUCAGAAUGCUACGGUGAAUACGUUCCCGGGCCUUGUACACACCGCCCGUCACACCAUGGGAGUGGGUUGCAAAAGAAGUAGGUAGCUUAACCUUCGGGAGGGCGCUUACCACUUUGUGAUUCAUGACUGGGGUGAAGUCGUAACAAGGUAACCGUAGGGGAACCUGCGGUUGGAUCACCUCCUU
This 1536-nucleotide ribosomal RNA is filed under the name Klebsiella pneumoniae. Its description in RNAcentral is "bacterial SSU rRNA". It matches the Rfam family "Bacterial small subunit ribosomal RNA". Lineage: Bacteria; Pseudomonadati; Pseudomonadota; Gammaproteobacteria; Enterobacterales; Enterobacteriaceae. The record is from RNAcentral.